GCUCUCUGUUUUCUCUUAAGAUUGUAUAAAUCUUUCGCAUUGCUAAGGAUUUUCAUGCAGAGAAUCUAUUCUGAGUUUUUAAAUAAUUUUUGAGGCUCUACAUGGUAGAGC
Molecule: small nuclear RNA, 111 nt
Organism: Bombina bombina (fire-bellied toad)
Lineage: Eukaryota; Metazoa; Chordata; Amphibia; Anura; Bombinatoridae
Product: U5 spliceosomal RNA
Exons: 1
Source: RefSeq, a predicted model, not a curated record